This is a long non-coding RNA of Beta vulgaris subsp. vulgaris (sugar beet), 3072 nucleotides long. RefSeq lists it as uncharacterized. Lineage: Eukaryota; Viridiplantae; Streptophyta; Magnoliopsida; Caryophyllales; Amaranthaceae. The record is from RefSeq and is a predicted model, not a curated record. The transcript is spliced from 6 exons.
UUUUUGCGAGAUUAUUGCGAUCGUGUUUGAAUCGAAUUUGACUUACUUUAAGAUCUAAGGUUUAGGUUUUGAUCUUCUCUUUGUUGUCGAAAUUGUACCUGACUACCUGCGCAAUCAUUUGACCUCCCCCUACGUUUUCUGCAGAAGAUGCUAGAGGUAACUACGUAUCUAUGAAGUUUCUCCUCACAUGUCAAACCCCAGCUCUGCUCUUCUAUCGAUUUCUUGUUAUUUUUAGUGUUUGAUCAGUUCGGAUAUGAAUUCUAAGCAAAGUACAUUCACUGAAAUGUGAAUUUGAGUGAAUUGUUGUUAGUAAUGUAAAUUACCUGGAGGUAUUCUUCUGUAUUCUGGUGCCUGUCAAAAUUUUCUAUUAUUGUCUACUUUGAAGAAAUUACAAUGUGAUCGUCUUUCUGUAUUAUUGCAGAAAAGCUUUGACGAUUUCUCUAUUAGUGCCGUUAUAUCGUAUCGAAACCACAAUGAAGUUAUAAAGUCAUUAGGUUUUAUGUAUUUCUUGUGCUGUCAGUUUUUCUACUUCAUUUACAUGAUAAAUUGUCAUGCGUGCCAUUCCAGCAAUUUGAUUUCCUUUUGACUUGUAUGAUGAUCAAUUCAAUGAUAUUGUCCGACUCAUCCCCUCUUUUGUUUAAUUUAGUUGAUCUAGGUUUGUAAACAGAAGAUCAGCUAUAAGGUAAUGCAUGUAUUUGUUUAAAACUGAUAUGUCCUGUCUAUAGAUGAUGUAACUCAAUUUUUGAAAUUUUAUGUCUUGUUCAGAUGGCAUAUGAGUUGCAUAGCAUGUUAACUAAUGCUGUUAGCUUGAUGACAUGGGAGAAGGUCAUGCCAGUAUAUGGAGGAGGGAAUGAUAACGACUCAUUUCUUACCAAAGUUGUCAGCCCAUUUUACCGGGUUAUAUCUGAGGUGCUUGGACUUAAAUUCUAUUUGAGUUUUUUUAACUCUCAAUUCUUUAUCUUAAUCUAUUAACAUUUAUAUAUUCCAGGAAGCUGAGAAAAGCAAAAAUGGAACUGCUGAUCGUUCUAAAUGGAGAAACUAUGAUGAUUUGAACGAGUACUUUUGGUCGCCUAACUGUUUUUGAAUAGGUUGACCAAUGCACGUUGAUGAUCAUGAUUUCUUCUUUGUGGAAAAAAAUCUCAAGGUGAUCAACCAGAGAAGAACAUCUUUGUUCGUCUAAAGAAAUUAAGAGGAAAGAGGGUGGUGAAGGAUGAGGAACAUGGGAUCAAGGUUGCAGUUGCAGCUGUACGCAAUAUUCGUGGCUUGCCGUUCAUGGAUGAAUUCAAGAAGCUCAAAUCUUCCAAAUGAUCUUUUGACAUAUUUGACUGGCUAGGCUUUAUCUUCGGGUUUAAGGUACUUGUAAUAAUGUCUAUCAAAUGUUUUGUUCUACAGUAGUUAUGAAUGUAUGACUAGUAUAAUGACCAAAUAUUGGUCUCUAAUUUCUACUGGAGGAUCUCUAAAUUGGGCAUUCAUAAUUUUCUACGACUAUCAGACAAGGAAUGUUGCCAACCAGAGGGAGCAUCUAAUUCUACUUCUUGCAAACACCCACAUCCGACAGAGUCACAAGCUAACAUCAGUGCUGCAGUUCGCAGAUGGUGCAUUGGAUGGACUGAUGAAAAAGUUCUUUAAAAAUUACACAAAGUGGUGCAAAUUCCUAGUAAAAAAAAGUAACAUCCGGUUACCCUAUGGUAAACGGGAAGCCCAACAAUAUAAACUAUUGUAUAUAGCACUUUAUCUUCUAAUUUGGGGAGAGGCUGCAAACUUGGAAAUUCGUUCUCUUUCCGGCAGUUAGUUUUUGGUAAUAAUUCAAUACUUUGAUGCGUUUUUAAAUCUUGGAAAUUCGUUCGAUACCUUUUUCUGUAUGUAUCGAAUAAUCUUUGCAUAUAAUAUAUAGUUCCUGUUAUUAAUGCUGUUUUAAUUAUUGUUGCAUAUUUCCUGAUUUAUAUCACUUUUCCAGAUUAUAACGUGUUUGACGAGUUAUUAGUUGACUUGAAAGUUUUGUAGAAUGAGAAGAGAGAAAAAGCGGUCAAAGCAAGUCGUGAUAUCACUAUGAACAGUAAAAAAGUGAUUUUCCAGGUGAAUAAAUUUCCUAUAAGAACAUGAUGUUUGAAUGCGGUUAGGCAUUUAGCAGUUGUGUGUUUUUAAAUCUGGUUUAUUUGAUAAUGCAAUUGGUUUUUUUCCCCCUGUUUUGGAGUUAUUCAGUUACUUUAUAAAUCAUAGUGCAAUUGCAUUCUUGGUUUUCCUGUGUAAAUUUAAGCCAACAAAAAUAACGAAUUUCCUCGUGCCAAUUUUCUGCUAAAACUGAAUGCGGUAAUUGGGAAACAGGAAAGUCCUCUAAGCUGCUAUGUCCCUGUUUAUAAUAAUUAGACAAUGCAUCCCAUAAAAAAAAUAGACAAUGGAUGAUAUAAUUCAAGCUCCAGUAUAUAUACUAUAUAGGGCCUAUUUCCAUUGUGAUUAGUAUCAGUAACACAUUACACCUGAAGUAGUGGCAAUUGGCAUGGGGUGUACACAUGCGACACAGAGCCCAGGUGGGUCCUAAGGAACACUAGCGCUUUCAAGCAUCAUAUGCCACCAUUCUCAAAGCUCAUAUGACUUCUCUAAAGAACCGAGAAAGGAAGGACAAGCGAAAGGCUGCUGAUUCAGACAAGAAAGCCGGAGAGGGUUCAAAGAAGGUGGUUGCAUCUGCUAAGUAAAUCUUGUUUCUUUUCUUGUAGUCAACAAUAGUCGAGAGAGAUGAUACAGAAGGUUUUAGUUCUCUAUAUAUGCAGCUCGGAAUUUUUUAGGAAAAGAGGGUACAUUUUCGGUGUUUAGAUUUUUGCCCCAUCCCUUUCAAUUAUGUAUUCGUAAUUUUGGUGAUUAGAAGCGUGUUUGUUUUCAAUGUUAUUUGGGUUAAAGCUCAAACAGUUUUGAUUGAAGUUUUAGGCUUGUCGCACAGGUUCUGAUUCCAUACUUAAGCCUGGGAUAAUUAUACUUGAUACCUUGAUAAUUCUUUGAAGGAAUUUGUUAUACCAAGGUGGCAGCUAAUAUGUAAGUAUAUAAGAUAGAAGGUACCGACUGUUGGAUAUUGAUUUA